GAUGAACGCUGGCGGCGUGCCUAAUACAUGCAAGUCGAGCGAACGGACGAGAAGCUUGCUUCUCUGAUGUUAGCGGCGGACGGGUGAGUAACACGUGGAUAACCUACCUAUAAGACUGGGAUAACUUCGGGAAACCGGAGCUAAUACCGGAUAAUAUUUUGAACCGCAUGGUUCAAAAGUGAAAGACGGUCUUGCUGUCACUUAUAGAUGGAUCCGCGCUGCAUUAGCUAGUUGGUAAGGUAACGGCUUACCAAGGCAACGAUGCAUAGCCGACCUGAGAGGGUGAUCGGCCACACUGGAACUGAGACACGGUCCAGACUCCGACGGGAGGCAGCAGUAGGGAAUCUUCCGCAAUGGGCGAAAGCCUGAAGGAGCAACGCCGCGUGAGUGAUGAAGGUCUUCGGAUCGUAAAACUCUGUUAUUAGGGAAGAACAUAUGUGUAAGUAACUGUGCACAUCUUGACGGUACCUAAUCAGAAAGCCACGGCUAACUACGUG
RNAcentral lists this ribosomal RNA (497 nucleotides) under uncultured bacterium. RNAcentral's name for it is "partial 16S ribosomal RNA". It matches the Rfam family "Bacterial small subunit ribosomal RNA", at positions 28 to 507 of the family's 1533-position model. The record is from RNAcentral.